UGGGGAAUAUUGGACAAUGGGGGGAACCCUGAUCCAGCCAUGCCGCGUGUGUGAAGAAGGCCUUAUGGUUGUAAAGCACUUUAAGCGAGGAGGAGGCUACUCUAGUUAAUACCUAGGGAUAGUGGACGUUACUCGCAGAAUAAGCACCGGCUAACUCUGUGCCAG
Molecule: ribosomal RNA, 165 nt
Filed under: uncultured bacterium
Lineage: Bacteria
Description: partial 16S rRNA
Rfam family: Bacterial small subunit ribosomal RNA
Source: RNAcentral